CCCAGUUCGGCGGACGGCGGCUCGGCACGGUGCUUGCGCUUGUUCCGGUUGGCUGGCUGGCUGGUUACCUUCUCAAGUUCUCAUGCACUGCCGCUGACCCCAACAGUGACGGCGCGCGGCUGCAGCGUCGCGAGACACUAGAAGAUACUAGUGAGAGCAAAGGGCGCCCUAGGCUUGGAGUUUUGUGACCUCGUCACUGCUUGAGGAAACAAGAAGGUUCCACCCGCAGGCAGGAAUAGGCUGAGCUCCUUUAAGUUUUCAGUUGUUAGUCCUCUGGAGUUCUGCUUUAGCUCCCGAACUUUGAGAUCGCUGGAUGUUUGGGUUCUCUUCUUCGAGUUUUUUGCUUUCUCUUUGGCCUGCGUGCCUGUUAUCAUGUUCCCAUGUUCCCAGAGCGAACUUGUAAAGCUGGUCUCCCCAGCAAAACAAUCUAUUCCUUUCUAUAAAAGCAGGGCGUUGUUGACGAAAAAA
Molecule: non-coding RNA, 468 nt
Organism: Oryza sativa Japonica Group (Japanese rice)
Lineage: Eukaryota; Viridiplantae; Streptophyta; Magnoliopsida; Poales; Poaceae
Source: RefSeq, a predicted model, not a curated record